UUUUAUCUAACCCGAAUUAUAUAUAAUUAUUCAAUCAAAAUUUAAAUCGAAAUUGGCAAUGCAAUCUCAACAAGAACCUCACCACUAUGGGUACUGUACAAACCAGUUGAAUGACGUCAAAGGGAGUCAAUAAAAUGGAUUGACAGUGAUCAAAACAGAACAAAAUAAAAACAUUGUCAUGAGGCCUAACUGGACACAUCGCAAUAAAAAGAAUUGACACCAACAAAAAAAAAAAGAAGGUUCGCCGUAUGUUCUGAGGCGUGCCACGGAUAAAGGCUUGUGAAUAUGAAGUUAAUGGACAUAGAAAUGUAUCAUUUCCCAACAUAUUAAGUUGGCCUGACUUUGGUUCUAAGAGGAGAAAAUAAAGCUAAAAUUAUAAAAUGGAAUGCCAAAAUUCUAAAUUGAAGCAGAAUUCAACCAAAUAAAUGGAAUAACUUGGGUCCAGCUUUUAAUUAAUGUCACCAAAAGUUAAAUGGAAAUUUUUACAAUAAAAGUGCGGUGGCAAAAAAAAAUUCA
Stomoxys calcitrans (stable fly) is the source of this 516-nucleotide long non-coding RNA. RefSeq lists it as uncharacterized. NCBI's taxonomy places the organism in Eukaryota, Metazoa, Arthropoda, Insecta, Diptera, Muscidae. The record is from RefSeq and is a predicted model, not a curated record. The transcript is spliced from 3 exons.